GACGAACGCUGGCGGCGUGCUUAACACAUGCAAGUCGAACGAUGAAGCUAGAGCUUGCUCUGGUGAAUUAGUGGCGAACGGGUGAGUAACACGUGAGUAACCUGCCCCGAACUCUGGGAUAACUGCUGGAAACGGUAGCUAAUACUGGAUACGACCUACGAAGGCAUCUUCUGUAGGUGGAAAGAAUUUCGGUUCGGGAUGGACUCGCGGCCUAUCAGCUUGUUGGUGAGGUAAUGGCUCACCAAGGCGACGACGGGUAGCCGGCCUGAGAGGGUGACCGGCCACACUGGGACGGGGACACGGCCCAGACUCCUACGGGAGGCAGCAGUGGGGAAUAUUGCACAAUGGGCGCAAGCCUGAUGCAGCAACGCCGCGUGAGGGAUGACGGCCUUCGGGUUGUAAACCUCUUUUAGUAGGGAAGAAGCGAAAGUGACGGUACCUGCAGAAAAAGCACCGGCUAACUACGUGCCAGCAGCCGCCGUAA
Molecule: ribosomal RNA, 484 nt
Filed under: uncultured bacterium
Lineage: Bacteria
Description: partial 16S ribosomal RNA
Rfam family: Bacterial small subunit ribosomal RNA
Source: RNAcentral